UAUCGCUUCGUCUCAAAGAUUAAGCCACGCAUCGUCUAAGCAUAAACUGAACUAAAGUGAGGCCGCGAAUAGCUCAUUACAACAGCCGUUCGUUUUCUUGGAUUCUCCGCUUCUACUUCGGAUAACUCGUGGUAAUUCUAGAGCUAAUACACGCAAUCGAGCUCCGAUCUUUUCGUGACGAGCGCAUUUAUUAGUUCAAAACCAAUCAGCGCUUGCGCUGUGGUUUGGUGAAUCUGAAUAACUGAGCAGAUCGCUUCGGUCUUUGCACCGGCGACGUAUCCUUCAAGUGUCUGCCUUAUCAACUUUCGAUGGUAGUUUAUGUGCCUACCAUGGUUGUAACGGGUAACGGAGAAUUAGGGUUCGACUCCGGAGAGGGAGCCUGAGAAACGGCUACCACUUCUAAGGAAGGCAGCAGGCGCGCAAAUUACCCACUCUCGGCACGAGGAGGUAGUGACGAAAAAUAACGAGACAGUUCUCUAUGAGGUCUGUCAUCGGAAUGGGUACAAUUUAAACCCUUUAACGAGGAUCUAUU
Molecule: ribosomal RNA, 532 nt
Filed under: uncultured microeukaryote
Lineage: Eukaryota
Description: bacterial SSU rRNA
Rfam family: Eukaryotic small subunit ribosomal RNA
Source: RNAcentral